AACACAAGUAUAUGAUAUACCUGAUAGAUAAUGAUAUUGUAU
This 42-nucleotide non-coding RNA is filed under the name Trypanosoma brucei brucei. The record is from RNAcentral. Lineage: Eukaryota; Euglenozoa; Kinetoplastea; Trypanosomatida; Trypanosomatidae.